RNAcentral lists this long non-coding RNA (750 nucleotides) under Fukomys damarensis (Damara mole-rat). Its description in RNAcentral is "lncRNA (ENSFDAG00000028553.1)". The record is from RNAcentral. Lineage: Eukaryota; Metazoa; Chordata; Mammalia; Rodentia; Bathyergidae.
CACAGAGAUUACAUUAAAACAAGCUCAAGGUGGUAGGUUGGGGGACAGCUAGGCGGAUGGCCAGAGACAGAGAGGACCUGGCUGCAUGAACAGGUGAGGAGGAGGAGAGCUGAGAUCCAGUGCGCAUCUCCAGGCAGCAGGAUCCGUGGGGCUGCUGUGCUCCUUGAGCAUAGGACUGAGACCUAGUCACAGGAGGAUCUCUUUGCAGGGUGAUGAGGUGUCCAGGCUGCAGGGCUCCAGGAGCACUCUGGUCUGUCUGAGGGCUGACGUCCCUUCUUCAUGGCCGGUCCUGCAAGACCAGCAUCAGCCCCGAGUGUGCACCAAAGACGGUCUGUGAGGUGGGGACCCUGGGGCAUGCUACUCGGACGCCCCCUCGGAGAUGUCAGCUAUGCACCCUCAACGACUCCGUGGCAAUUAUGUCAUUGUCACCACCACCACCGUCGUGUGGUUAGAGACACCUCUCCCAGGCCCGGGCACAAUUCAGGUCUCUGUCUUCCACCCUCUGCCCUUACCAGCAAACCGAGGACCCGACGGUUUCCGCCAGGUGGCGCUGCGGAGCACAGCCCCAGCUGCCCAGCCCGGAGCAGACUCGGGGAAGUGUCCUGACCUGUCACCUGUGGGCCCGGUGACCCCGGGCAGGUGACUCUCAGUGCUCCCAUCUGCACAGUGGGUGCAAGAAGCAUGCCUGGGUCAGCUCAUUUAAGUGUGGAGUGGGAUGGGGUUGGGGGGAUGAGGGUCCCAGAGGGUGGG